This is an unclassified non-coding RNA of Otolemur garnettii (small-eared galago), 102 nucleotides long. It matches the Rfam family "Y RNA". From Rfam's summary of the family: Y RNAs are components of the Ro ribonucleoprotein particle (Ro RNP), in association with Ro60 and La proteins. Lineage: Eukaryota; Metazoa; Chordata; Mammalia; Primates; Galagidae. The record is from Ensembl.
GGCUGGUUGCACCAUAGUGGUGUUUACAACUGAUUGAUCACAACCAGCGACCGAAUCCUUUGUGCCUUCUCCACUCCCACUGCUUCACUUGACUGGCUUUUU